Molecule: ribosomal RNA, 254 nt
Filed under: uncultured bacterium
Lineage: Bacteria
Description: partial 16S ribosomal RNA
Rfam family: Archaeal small subunit ribosomal RNA
Source: RNAcentral
UACCAGCACCCCGAGUGGUCGGGACGUUUAUUGGGCCUAAAGCAUCCGUAGCCGGUUCUACAAGUCUUCCGUUAAAUCCACCUGCUUAACAGAUGGGCUGCGGAAGAUACUAUGGAGCUAGGAGGCGGGAGAGGCAAGCGGUACUCGAUGGGUAGGGGUAAAAAUCCGUUGAUCCAUUGAAGACCACCAGUGGCGAAGGCGGCUUGCCAGAACGCGCUCGACGGUGAGGGAUGAAAGCUGGGGGAGCAAACCGG